GCCCCAAAUCCACUCUCUCCCAGCGGCGGCCCGUCCCCGCAGCCUCCCCCCCCCCCCCCCCCGACAGCCAGAGACGUGCGAGCAGGUAGCGGGUUUAUUCUCCAAUAUUCGUUACAAGGAGCCGGCGGGGGACCGGGGCAGGUGGGGAACCAUCCCCGACAUCAAACGGUGCAGUUUCCCUCGCCGUAGCGCCGGCACUUCAUCACCUUCAGUGGGCAAAGCUCUAACUCAGACCCAAGCCACAUGCAUCUGGAGCUGAGAGAUCUGCAGCCUGCCACUCCUCCUGCCCUGCUUUGCUGACCAGCUGGCACAGUAAACAGUGUCAUAAAUGGGUGAAGCGUGAUUAUUUGUCUAGUUUCUGUGUACUGCUUCCCAAUGCCCAAGCACAUAUCAAAUGGAGAGCAAAAUCUGGAAGUGGUGCUGAUACAUACGCCUACUUAUACCAGCUAAAGUGCCAGGACAGAAGAUGUCCGUUUACUCUCAGGGCCUGACUUUCAGAGUUAUUUAGAUGCUAGAUGUAAAUAAUUGUCCAGGCUCAUUUCUCACAGAUACGGGUCUCAGAGCUCUGGCUACAUGGUGAUGCUGGCAGAUAAACUUAGUUAUAGAGCAAGCAUAACUGAAAAGGUGUCCUGGCAGAUAAGCAAUUUCAUUUAAAACAACAAAGCAAAAAUUAAGAGUGACCCUUGAAGAAGAUCACUCUCCAGCUCUCAGCUGUCUGGGUGCUGCAAGAGAGAAACAUCAGAGCAUAGGCUUCCAUCUGUACACAGACUUAUACAGGUUGCUUUUAUAAAAUGUCAUGAGUCCUUAAAGCCAGGUUGCAAACCUUGCAAAAUUUACUCCACUUUAAAGUAUUUUGCAUGGAGAUGCAGCAAACAUUAUACUGCUGUUUGUACAGCAGAUUUAAGCAACUGAGUAUUCUUUGGUGCUGGAUUUGGAGAGAGUUUGGGUCUGUACUGCUAUCUGAGUGGUUAUGGCAGUGCUGUUAACAUUUGUUAUGUGUUUUCUUAUACUGCCCAGUGAUGAAACGUGUACAAUGGGGUGUCAUGAUCUCAUUAUCUUAAGGUAAGCAAAGUCUAAAGGAUGCCACUGGUCUUCAGAGUGGAGGUGGGGAGAUUUCUCAUGGUCUUUGGAUCCCACGGAAGACCCUGAGAGCUGAGUGCCCUGUAUCUAGGGGUUCUCUUAUUCUGUAGCCGUACUACAUGCUGCAACUUACCCUCAUCAGAGCUUGGAUCCCUUCUUCCAGGUCCUUUAGUUUUUCAUACACUCUGUCUGAGGUGCCAAAAACCAGAUUGUUUGUGAACACCUUGCUUAGGUAUUGCACCGGGGUCAGCCAGGACUGGAUGAGAACCAGUGAAAACCGAAGGAGCUCCAUAUCCUGAAAUUAAGAAAGGGUCAAAGCUGUGCAGGUGAGGUAUUUGGUAGAGUUACCUGUGUGCCCUGCUCCCUCUGAAACAGCCUGGAGGUGACCCAGAGAUGUGCCACUGCUCCUGCGGCUUCAGCAGAUACAAAUGAGUUUGCAAGCUGAGGAGCACCACCCAGCCAUUUGUCCUGUGCAGACAAUAGUUUUUUCUCAUCCUUAGAAUGGGAAUAUGAUUCAUAGUAUAACCCAGAAGAAUCUUUGUUCAUGCAGGGCUUAAAGAGUAAAAAAGGGAGAGGAGGAAUGAAGCACUGAAAUGCUCACAGAUGGAAGCUCUCUGUUCCUGUAAUGAAGUACAGCUGGGCUCUUUAAACAGGUCUGUGCUUGCCCCAGGGGAGGGAACUUACCGAUUUCUGCUGGGCAUCAUCCUUCCCCGUGGGAGCAGGGAUGGUUUCAGAGUAACAAAAUGCUGCCUGGGAAUUUUUGUUGGCAUGUCUUUGGUCCUCUGGAAUAUAGGUGCGUUCCUGUGGAGACAUCCCAAAUGCACUCAGGUCUGUUGCCCAUGUACUGGGAGAAGACCACAGACACUUUCCCAGGCUGUCCUGAAUGGUUACUCUUUGCAAGAAAUACAUGAGACAUGAGGUGUCCCUGUAAAGGGUUGGCAGGUAGGAAGCAGGAGUUUGUAUGUUGGCACAAUAGCUGCUGGACCUAAAGGUCUUCCUUUCACUAAGCCAAGGUGCUAAGGUGAAUGCAAAACACACUUGGACUGGGUUCUCCCAAGGAGUAGAUGAGCCCCAAGGACAGCUCUUGCCAAAGUGACAGCUCAUGCCAGCUCCUGGCAACAGCAGAGACUGGAUAGUUUUAAGCAUUCAGAAUCAGCCAGGGCCAAAGGUGACCGACACAGGAAAGUCUUGCAAAAUAUCGUGCCAUCUCCCACUGCUUUCAGAGCCAACUUUCUCUUUGAGACAGCUGACCCUGUGCAGUAGGUUUGGAUGUGGGCAGCAAUGGCCCUGAGGAGGGGACUGUGCAGGAUCAGAUGUGGGGGCAGAGAGCUGAGGGAGGGGGCAGGGUCCAGGCUGAUGGGACAUGACCUGUCCUGUCCUAUUAAGACCCUUUCAUCUCAUCAAGAGCUGACAGAGGAGACACCAAUAGUUGAAAAGUCUCUGUUUCUAGGAAGUUAUACAGUCCUGAAACCAUCAGGCUAAUGUGGAGGAGAUGCCCAGAGGCCACGACACUUACGAACUCUUUGUAUGUCUCCGCAGCCAGGAGGUGAAGGUGCUGAGCCCUCAGCACAGCAUUGGCAAACAGGUUGGAAAGAGGCAUGGCUGGGAAGGUGGCAGCUUCCUGUGGCCACUGCAGUCCCAGGGUGAUCACAGCAAUGAAGAGAGGAGAAAACCAUGACCCUGCAGCAAAACGGAGAGGAAAGGUGUUAGCAGUCCUUUAGUGACUGCUGAGGAGGGAGGUGGCACCUGGGAAUUAAUUAGUUCCCAGCCUCUUCUGUCAGUGCUGGCUAAGGGGUCACCUUCCUUAAUGUCUUCUUGGACUCUGUGAGUGAGCUUAGCCCUCCCCCAAAUCAAAUGAAACCCUGUCCCCUUUCACUAGACGUGCCCUCAGGGCUUGUACUGCUCCCAGUGUUAUAAGCAGCGUCUUUGUAGCUGAAGAGUCAUUGUUGCCCCGUGAAAACUAGAGUGUGUCCCUAUGUUUUUCCCUAACAUGCUCGUGUUUUUCCGUAGGCCUUGCCCUCAUGAGAAGAGCACAGUGCACUCUUCAUUGUGUGACCAAGCAGGGGAUGGCGAGUACCAGGCGAGGGCCUGGGAUUACCUCACUUUAGCCUUGGUUUACACCAUGCUGCUGACGUGAAACUGGCUGUCUGCCUUCACUAGGACAAGAGCUGAUGGCAUUACCUGUGCUGUGACCAGCUAUUUUUGCUCUCUGGGGCAUACCUGUAGAAUCUGGUGAUCUUUGUCAAGCGUAAAGGUUUUCAACGUUCAACAUCUAACUCACACAAUGUCCAUCUGUGCUUACAGAGACCACAAAGUUAAUCUCAGACAAAUACCCUUCAGUGGAGGAAUGCCUUGGAGCCUGUAGGACUUGGACAUACGCAUUAGACAUCACCCUGAUAACCGUCGUAAGCUUUGAAUAUGAGUUUUAAUAUCCCUGCCAACAUUUAUGUUAAUAAUAACUAUUAUAACUGUGGCUUGACCUUGUUCUUCAUGUUCUCCACCCUCUCCUUGCCCAGCUGAGGCUAAAGACUACGUAAGUUAAUUCAUGGAUUAAAGUCACGCUGUAAGGAGAGGUAUUUCUUCUUCAUUGAUUUAUAAGUUGACACGUUUUAAUUUAGGGCUGGCACUGAGUGUGUAUAGCCCACCACAGUACUGCCCCGUCAUCAUCUCCCAUCACCCUAAGCAUGCACAGCCCUGGCAAUCCUUUAAAACUGAAAUAAAGAAAAGUACCUGGAGCCAUUUCUGCCUGGUGAGUUGCUCAGGUGUUGCUUGACAAUGAAUGUUUCCUCCUUUCAUCUAGGCUGGUAAAGGUAACUGUUGAGCCACCCCUUAUAUAGCAGGGUGUCUGUUUAAAAUGUAUAUAUGUGUUCAUGAUCACAACAACAUCUCUGUAUCUUCUCUGUGCAUAAAUGCACAAGUGUUCGCAAUGGUGCUACCUAAUUGUAGUCAUUUAUACAUAGAUGUAAAGGUUGGGGAGGUUGUUUGCCUAGGGAUGAAACCAGUGCUGAAUGAUUUCGCCAUAUUCUGCUGUUUAUUGCAAAUAAAAUUUUCUUGAUCAUUGGAAGACCCAUCCUAAAUCAGAUCAGUGCUUUUACAUGGUGGAACUUCCCAUGUCCACCUGAUUUUUCUGCCUGGCUCUGAGCCUUGGCCCACAGUUAACUGGGCUGACUGGCCAGUUUGGUAGACUUCUGACUUAAAGCAAGUGAGAUGUUUUCCCCUUUAUUGUUAGCGGGGAUAGAGCUGGAUGGAUAUUGUCAGAUGAAUCCUAUUUCAGCCAAGUAAUUUCUACCAAAAUUUCAGAAGUUCAGCAAUAGUUUUGGUGAGCUGGAUUGCCAUAGGUAUGACAAAGAGCUGUCAUACCCAGGUCCUUGUUCAGGUACCAGCCUGCCCGCUGCAAAUCCAGAUGCCAGAGCUCUGGGAGGUUUCUCACAAUCUCAGCUGGACAAGGCUAUGAGAAGAUCUGGUUAUGAGCGUCUUCCUGCUCUUGCCUGAGAUGCAAACGUGAAAUAUCUGGAUUAAGGAGAGGGCUGGUGUGGAAAGGAGGAAGAGGAGAUGGGGAAGAGGAGAGGUCACAGCACAUCUAUCCCUGCUUUUGAGCAAAACAAGACAGAACCUCGGAUGCCCAGCUCCGGGGGAGCUUAAAGGACUUUUACUCCCCAUAAGGCACCAAUUGCCCCAAACCUCCCUGUUUUGGCCCUUUGUCUGGGGAUCAAGGACUGCUUCCUGGUUAGGGGUGGUGAUUUGGCUCCCCUGGGCCCUGGGUUUGCUGUGCCCCCCUGGCAUGGGUUCGAUUUCCAAGAGGCAGCAUCCUCACCGGGGCGGCUGGAGCAGAGGGUGCGAGAGCUCAUUAAUAAACAAAGUGGGGAGAGCGCGGUUUGUUCCGAGAAGCCCCUGGGUGUUUGCUCACUGGAGAUGUGGUGGUGUCGCAAAGUAAAUGUCAGUCCCUAGAGGAGAGGGAACAGUGGGUCCUGCAGCUAUCAGGUAUCCCGUCACCCAAUAGCCAGCAACAUCUGGGUGUGUUUUUCUACUCCAGAUUGUGUUUAAAUACUUCAAUAUUUGUCAGAGAUGAGCAGAACAGCGGGCACCCCAGCCCAGCACAGGCUCUGCUGCCUGUUAAUGAUGAUGCUCGACCACAGCAGCUAAAUUGGUACAGCAUCUUGCACCCGAGUCCUGCCCAUCUGCCUCUCCAGGUCUGUAAGUAAAAACAUGGUGCAAAAUCAACAUUUUUUAUGUUGCAGCCAAGCACAGAGAUGCCAGGAUGAUCCAGACUGUGCGGUGCCCCUGAGGCUUGGUUUGUCGCCGAUCAUCUCUGGGCAUUAAAUGAGGCAGAAGCUUCGUGGAGAAGGCAGUGCGUGACUGUGAAAUGCUGGGCUGGGCAAACACAUGCCACUGGCAGAAUUAUGUUGCAUAAGCAGCUCUCAAAUACCAGCUUGGCAUUUUCUGGCUUUCAAAUGCCUGCAUUUGCGACCCAAAGUAGCAUCUCGUAAAGCAGCAUGACACUGUAAUUUCCAAGUUUCUUUUCUUUUUUCAAAGAGAAAACCCCCUCAGUUCUUUUCAGGGUGGUCCCAUGUCUACCCGCCUUGCCCUGAGCAUCACCAGCAGCAUCUGAACAAGUGAAGCAACUUUCCUUGCAGGUGUGUGUACUCCUUGGGUCCUCCUGACCCCCCCAGCCUGGGGUGGUUGUGUGGAGAGGACCUUCCCAGGCUGAUGGAUGCGCUGCAACCAGUGAAUCCUGACUGAGGAGCCAGCUGCUGGCCCACAGCCCAGGCUCUGCACUUCAGUGGGCAACGACAUGGUUGACAGAGGUUUUAAGUGAUGGUUGACUACCUCUGCUAGCUCACGACUCAGAAGGGUGUUCCUGCUCUGGAUCUGCUGGAUGCUACUGUGACCUGGGGGCAGCAGCACAGGGAGAGCCCCAAGUCCCACCUCUGUGCCAGGCUCCCGGGGAACAGGGACGAGCUCGG
Long non-coding RNA from Harpia harpyja (harpy eagle), 6044 nucleotides. RefSeq lists it as uncharacterized. The transcript is spliced from 3 exons. Lineage: Eukaryota; Metazoa; Chordata; Aves; Accipitriformes; Accipitridae. The record is from RefSeq and is a predicted model, not a curated record.